ACGCUCAGUAACACGUGGCUAAUCUGCCCUUGGGACAAGAACACCCCCGGGAAACUGGGGCUAAUUCGCGAUAGGUGAAGAUCUCUGGAAUGAGUUUUCACCCAAAAGAAACUGCGUUAUGCUCGUAGUUUCGCCCAAGGAUGAGGCCGCGGCCGAUCAGGUUGUUGGUGAGGUAAUGGCUCACCAAGCCUUUUACCGGUGCGGGCCGUGGGAGCGGGAGCCCGGAGAUGGGCACUGAGACAAGGGCCCAGGCCCUACGGGGCGCAGCAGUCGCGAAAACUUUGCAAUAAGCGAAAGCUUGACAGGGCUAUCCCGAGUGCCAUCCGCUGAGGAAGGCUUUUACCCAGUCUAGAACGCUGGGGGAAUAAGGAGAGGGCAAGUCUGGUGUCAGCCGCCGCGGUAAUACCAGCUCUCCGAGUGGUGUGGAUGUUUAUUGGGCCUAAAGCAUCCGUAGCUGGCUAGGUUAGUCCCCUGUUAAAUCCACCGAAUUAAUCGUUGGAUUGCGGGGGAUACUGCUUGGCUAGGGGACGAGAGAGGCAGACGGUAUUUCCGGGGUAGGGGUGAAAUCCUAUAAUCCCGGGAAGACCACCAGUGGCGAAGGCUGUCUGCUAGAACGCGCCCGACGGUGAGGGAUGAAAGCUGGGGGAGCGAACCGGAUUAGAUACCCGGGUAGUCCCAGCUGUAAACGAUGCAGACUAGGUGUUUGGACGGCCACGUGCCGUUCUAGUGCCGCAGGGAAGCUGUUAAGUCUGCCGCCUGGGGAGUACGAUCGCAAGAUUGAAACUUAAAGGAAUUGGCGGGGGAGCAC
Molecule: ribosomal RNA, 808 nt
Filed under: uncultured archaeon
Lineage: Archaea
Description: bacterial SSU rRNA
Rfam family: Archaeal small subunit ribosomal RNA
Source: RNAcentral